UACAGAGGUCCCGAGCGUUGCUCGGAAUCACUGGGCGUAAAGCGCACGUAGGCGGCUUUUUAAGUCAGGGGUGAAAUCCUGGAGCUCAACUCCAGAACUGCCUUUGAUACUGGGAAGCUCGAGUCCGGGAGAGGUGAGUGGAACUCCGAGUGUAGAGGUGAAAUUCGUAGAUAUUCGGAAGAACACCAGUGGCGAAGGCGGCUCACUGGCCCGGUACUGACGCUGAGGUGCGAAAGCGUGGGGAGCAAACAGG
This 253-nucleotide ribosomal RNA is filed under the name uncultured bacterium. RNAcentral describes it as "partial 16S ribosomal RNA". It matches the Rfam family "Bacterial small subunit ribosomal RNA", at positions 524 to 776 of the family's 1533-position model. The record is from RNAcentral.